GGUUUAUCGGGGUUUCCGCUUUUGCUUCUUCUUCAUUUUCUCUUGCCACCACCAUGUAAGAGAUGCCUCUUGCCUCCCGCCAUGAUUCUGAGGCCUCCCCAGCCAUGUGGAACUAAUGCCAAGAACCUGGACACUCUCCGACGGUAACAUGGAGACACUGAGAGAAGGUGGCCAUCUGUAAGCCAAGGAGAGAGACCUUAGAAGAAACCAAACCUGCCAAUACCUUGAUCUUGGACCUCCAGCCUCCAGUCAUGAGAAAAUAAAUAAAAUAAAUUUCUAUUGUUUAACCACCCAGCCCGUGGUAUUUUGUUAUGGUAGCCCCAGCCGACUAACACAGUUGCUUAAGAGAGCUGGGUGUGAUCUGGAUCCCUGCUAACCUGGGGUUCACUCUUUCGCCAUUCUCCUUUGCUCAUGGCCCUCCAGCCACACUGGUCUUUUCUAGUUUCUAGAAGGUCAGCCCCGUUCCAGGCUCUGGAGCUUUGAAUGCACUGUUCCUUCUAACUGUGCCCCAUGCUUUUUAAGUGACUGGCUCCUUCUUGUCUCACAGGUCUCAGCUGACAUAUCAUUUCCUCAGAAGUGCCUUCCUGACCACCCCGUGGAAGAGAAGUGUCUCCCUCUCCCUGAUAUUCUCUAUCCCUGGCCAUGGUUUGUUUCUUUACAGAUUUUUAUCAUGUUUUGUGAUAAUUUUGUUUGUUUACUUUUGUCAAGUCUUUUGUUUGUCUUUCCAAUAGUAGACCUUAAACUCCCAUGUAGGCAGAAACAUGCCUGUCUUACUCAUUGUUAUAUCCCAGUGGCCUAGCACAUUCUAGACCUUCAAUAAAUAAUUUCUGAGUGAA
This 836-nucleotide long non-coding RNA is filed under the name Homo sapiens (human). Its description in RNAcentral is "HSALNT0336205". The record is from RNAcentral. Lineage: Eukaryota; Metazoa; Chordata; Mammalia; Primates; Hominidae.